RNAcentral lists this long non-coding RNA (4727 nucleotides) under Podarcis lilfordi (Lilford's wall lizard). The record is from RNAcentral. Lineage: Eukaryota; Metazoa; Chordata; Lepidosauria; Squamata; Lacertidae.
CUUUUAUACCCACCCAGUUGCGAUGUGCAUUUGUGAUGUCACAGGUAGUCCGUAGCCAAUGGCAACCACUGGGGAUGCACCACCAGAAUCUCCUCAGGCCUCACAAUGGUAGGUGCACCUCAGCAGUGAUUUAUUUGCAUGCUUGUUUAUUAUUAGAAUCAUAGAACUGUAGGGACCCUAGGAGUCAUCUACAGGAAUCAUAGCUGAAGAAUCUCUGACAGAGGGCCACCCAACCUCUGUUUAGAAACCUCCAUUGAGGAGAGUCAGCCACCUUCCAAGGCAGCUCAUUCCACAGUCGAACAGCUCUCACUGUCAGAAAAUUCCUCCUAGUUUUUAGUCAGAAUCUCCUUUCUUGUAAUUGUCAUCCAUUGGCCCAGGUCCACAACAACUCUCUUCCUCUCCCGUGUGACAACAUUAGCUGGAAAGGAAAGGGGGGAACCUGGUCUCUUCCUGUUCCCAACAUCCGUGGAGGCAGUGUUGCAACCCAUCCUGUAUAAUACAGGAUCGUCCUAUAUUUCAGUGUAAAAUGCUACAUCCUGUAUUGAUUCAUUGCAGGACACAGUUUGCCCCCUAUUUCUGUAUUCUGCUGCGCACUCUUUCUCUCGGCCAAGUAGGGGAUCCUUUCCUCAUCCUGCCCCUGAGGAGGACCGAAUCAGGGCAAGGCUUUCAUGAUGUUGCUUCCAGUUCCCUGCAGUUUUGGCUGAAUUAAGGCAGCCAUCUGCAGAGCGGCAGCCUGUGAGCUCUGGGCCCCAUCCUUCAGAGAGCAACAGGCUCUGAGGCUCUAGAAGCAAGCCGCUUUGUGUCAGCGUAGCCCAGAAGCCCCAUUUCUGAACAAAGUUACGAUAUUUGAUGUGAUAUGAUAAAGCAUGACAUUUGAGAGAGGAGGGUGGGGGGUGAAAUAGUUCUCCACAAGGAUUGCUCUCCACCUAAUAUUUUCUCUCUCUUUCAGAAAUUUAACAAAGCUCAUUCCCUCAUCAGAAUAUGCCCUUCCCCAUUUAUUAUUUGCUGUACAAGUGCAUAUACAGUGGUACCUCGGGUUAAGUACUUAAUUUGUUCUGGAGCUCUGUACUUAACCUGAAACUGUUCUUAACCUGAAGCACCACUUUAGCUAAUGGGGCCUCCUGCUGCUGCCUCGCCGCCGGAGCACGAUUUCUGUUCUCAUCCUGAAGCAAAGUUCUUAACCUGAAGCACUAUUUCUGGGUGAGCGGAGUCUGUAACCUGAAGUGUCAGUAACCCGAGGUACCACUGUAUGUGAAAGGGUACAUGAAAUGUCACGUAUUUAAGCUCUGUGUAGCAAAGCACAGACAGAUUUACAAAUUCAUGUGUGUGUGUGUGGCAAAUUCCAGAGGGGCCACCCUGUUAGGCUGCAAUAGAUUGUAAUGCAUUGCUUUGUCUGCACCAGGUGAAAAAAAUCCACCAGUGCACCCCCCCUCCAUAUUUUGCCAAACUAUGGUAGCAACUCUAAGUGGAAGCUGCUCCACCUCUGGCUUCUUGGCUUCUUACUUAGAACUCCAAGGGGCGGCAGCACCGACUGACAGCUUCCUCCUCUUUAGUUUCAGUUUUGCAGAACACAGCAGGGAGGAGGAUGGUCGGGAUAGAAGCAGAAGGAGGUGGUUCUGCCUGUCAUUGGCUCAGGUGGCACCUACCCUUGGUUCCCCUGCCUUCUGCCCUCUGGAAUACCUCCUCUAAAAGUGUAGGCCAUAGUUGAAGGACCUGCAAGAGAAGGAAACCACAGGAGCAAAAUGCAUAUGUUUUUAUGCUGGAAAGCUCUCCAGCCAGGUAAAUUGCAAACGUGGAAAGGCAACCCAAACAUAAGCCGCCUGUGGUAUAGUUCGAGUUUCUGUUAUGAGAAGGGCUGAACGGCAAGGGGCAGCAUAAGACCUUCACACUCACUCCUAAUUUAUGAAAUGCGUAAUUGUCACCAGAGGGCAGCAAAGGAGCAUUAAUGCUUGCUGAUGUGCAGCCAGUAGAUGUGUUACAAGAGAAAAGGAGCUGAAGAGGGCAUGGAGGGCAUUCAGAACUGAUUUCUUCUGCAAGGUGAUGUUACCUGUUGCAGAGCUGGAAGCAGGAGUGGAGUAGUCUGCCUCAGAAGGUGGUAGACUCUCCCCUGUUGCAGUUGUGUAAGCAGAGGCUAGAUGACUACAUGUCGGAGAUGCUGUAGCAGUGAACUUCCUACAUGGACAGGGUUGAACUAGAUGGCGUUUGAGGUUCCUUCCAACUCUAUGAUCCUAAAAUACCUAUUUGCAGCAGGGUUGACUCACCUGUGGCCUGCGAAAUGUGAUUGGACUUCAAAACCCAUCAGCCCUGGCCCCUAGUCAGGGAUGAUGGGAGUUGAAGUUCCAGCAACAUUGGGUGAGAGAGACACACACACAGGUGAGCCACUCCUGCCCUACGAGGUCAAAGUUCUUUCAGCGUCUUUCAAUGCACCCUAUUUUUUUUUUUUUAAUGUUCAUAUUAAACAUUAGGUAGAAAAGGCUUGAAUUAUCCAAAAGCAUAGCUGCCUGAGUUCUCUCCAUGAAGCUUAAAAGAAGUUACAGAGCUUCCUUUUACUGAGGACCCCCCCCCCAAGUGGUGGCUGGUGUGCAUUGCAAAAAGGCAUAGCAAAAGGUAGGAGGACCAACACUAGGUGGAACCAGAGCCAAUAACAGGCAGAGUCAAGCAAUUCUGUCUCCCAGCCAGCUCCCUGUUGAGUUCUAUGAGGGCAAAACUGACACCAAGGAAGAGGACGCAGACAAGCAGUGCCACCCCCUGAACUGGCUGCUUGUAAAAAAAAGAAGACAGGCAGGUUAGAGCUGGCUGAGAGCAAACUGAGGCUGAGUGGGCAAUGCUCCAUUUGCCCUAAUAAACCAGCCUACACUGGGCUCUCCAGACUGGGUUUUAUGUUUGGCUUUCUGUAGGCGUUUCCUGCAAAAAGUCAUUAGUGGUGGAUUGAUACUGGACUGUCCGCACAUCGUUCUGUUUUAUUAGUUGUUCUGCGAUGCCUCACUAGUGUUCCCGUCCAGAGAGGCACUAUUCUGCUGCAGCACAACGAAAGCAGGAUGAAAAAUAUACUGGGACGUUCAUGGUGCAGAAAGUUACAGGGGAAUGUUUCGGCUCCGGAACACUUGAAGGCACAAACAGUUAUCAAAAGUGAGACUCCAUAUAACUGCCCCGAUACCCUCAUGAGGAAAUCAUCAGGAAUGCACAAUAAAAAAGUUGUUUGGGAGGGACCCUGAGUCAGACCAGGGGCCAUUUAGCUAACUCGCUGCUAUCUAUCCUGACUGGCAGCAGAUCUCCCCAGGUAAUGUUCUUUUCCUAGCCCUUCCACCCAAAAGGCUUUUGCUGGCAACGUCAGAGAUUGAACUUGGCCUUUCAAACAUAUGCUCUGCCACUGAGUCAUCACCUCCUCUGGGAUUAUUCCUAACCUUUUCUGGGUUCACCCUGUCAGCUUAUCAACUGAUACGCCACACGUGAGCUUACCUGCGAGGGGAUUGCUUGGGUGCACGUACCCAUGCUCUGGUAACCAUCCAUUUAGACCAGGAGGGGGGAUUUCUCUCUCCCCCCCCCCGAUGUUGCUGAACUCCCAUGAGCCCUAGCAAGCAUGCCAAUAGCCAUGGAGGAUGGGAGUUGUAGUUCAGCAACAUCAGGAGGGCCAAGAUUCUCCACACCUGAUUUAAAAGUACGUAUUGAAAAAUGUGUUGCCAUUAAAAAAGACCCAGAUGCUACCAUUGAUCCAGAACAGGGCUGCAAGGUUAUUAACCUGGGCAGUUUGAUCAUAUGGUGCCUGUGUUUUGUCAGUUGCACUGGCUCCAUGCCGAAUUCUGGUCCCAAUUUAAAGUGCUGGGUUAAGCCCUUAAAGAUCUCAAUGGCUUGGGACCAAGUGGCCUGAAAUACUGUUUACCUCUAUAUUCACUUACCUGGAACUUAAGUUCCUUUCCAGAAGACCUGCUUCAGUGCCUGCACCCAAUGGAGGCGGGUCACCGCUAGGGAGAGGGCCUUUUCAGUAGUGGCACCCCGGUUGGGAACAGCCUUCCCUGGGAGGCUGGCUUGGUGCCAUCUCUGUGGUCUUUGAGACCUUUCUGUUCAUCCAGGCCUUUUAAAUAACUUAUAGCCAGAGCCACUCAGUGUAUCUUGUGGAAGGUUGUCAGUACUGUCUAUGACACUGACUGGCAGUGUCUCUCUCUCUUUCGGGCAGAGAGUCUUUCCCAGCCCUACCUGGAGAUGCCAGAUGGGGACUGAAGCUGGGACCUUCUGCAUGCCAAGCAGAUGCUCUAGUACUAGGCUAGGUCCCUGCCCUGUGUGUGCUGACUUCGGAGUCAACAUGCAUCAGACUGAGCGGUAAAACAGCCCUCACUUAGCGCAAUGACCUCUUGCAGGGCUGAUCUUGGGGAACAAGAAGUUUUAAAAAUGUGGCAUACUGAAUCCGUUGUCUGUUGAGCAAAAGGUGAGCUUACAUCUAUAUAGAAAGGGAAAGGUGUAAUGUUGCUUUAUCUGUCCUUGCUUUAGGACAAUGGAAGCAGAGAGAGGGUGGAGAGGCUGGUGGGGUUCUGACAAGUGUUGAUCUCUGAGCUAACCAAGCCGAAGAGCCACCGCAAUGGUACCCUGCUGUGCAAACUGCUGCUUAUAGGAGACGUUGUCAAUUCAAUCUCCUGCCAAGUGUUACCUGAUUUAAAGGGAGAGUCGGUGGAAGCACCCGAGGAGCCUUUGGUGCAGAAAGAGAUUGAUUAUGGAAUAAAAUUAUAACAUUA